CCAGUUCAAUUAAAACAAAUCUGAAUGUAAAACAUGACCAAAAUACACUUUCACACUUCAUGUGUUAUUUGAAUUAUGAUUCAGUUUUUGAGAAAUUUCUAUGAGCAGACUGAGCGGGCAUUUUAAAGGAAGAAUGUGCGACUUUUUACUCAUAAAUAUUUCAUAAAUCAAGUCUCUCCUGUGUACAUGUGUCUCUGAGUCAUGACUGUCUACAAUGAGGGAGAAGCUUGAGUCCUGCUGGCUGUGUUGUUGUCAGAGCUGUGUUUACAUGGACAUGAUGGCCCCUUAUAAAGCUAGAAAAGAAGAAGAACGUACUCACUGCUUAUUUAGAUGACACGUUAGCUACAAGCUAACUAAAGAGUGCUAACAUUAGCCUGCUAACACAACAAUGCAGACCACAGUCAUUUGCAGCUUGAGCCAAGGACAAGUUUGUUAGCUGCUUGCGCUAAACUCGUCCGUGCUUCAGUAUGGCAGAGGUGGCAGUUUGUUUUGGUUUUAUGCUAGGGCUCAAGGGCGACAUCUAUGGGAUCAAAAAGUCACACAUUCUUCCUUUAAUCACCUGUGAUAUUUACCACUGGCUACAUAAGCUUAUUGUGAUUUUGUCAUGUCAAGUCUUUAAAUAUUUAUGCAAGUUCUGCUAUUUGUCUGGAGGCUCUGUGUUGUAACCAAGCACUUCACCUAAUGUACUGAAGUCCUCAACAAAUAAACAUUAUCAGAAAGAGGUCUUAACUUUAUGUGGCAAAAGUAAAAUUAUAGUGGCUGUUUUAAAGAGCAUUAUGAAAUCAUCUAUCUGCUGUGUCUAAUAUGGAGAAGCAUAACAGUCUGUUUUCUUCAGGUUUCAGGUUUUUUUUAAAAAUCAAAGUCAAUUUAUAUAUUUUUUUGUAUAUUUCUUUGGUUAAAAAAUGACUGAUAAUGACCAAUAAACCAUCAUGACCCUUCGGUGUCUGAUUGAAGUGUUGCUCUGUGGU
This is a long non-coding RNA of Labrus mixtus (cuckoo wrasse), 968 nucleotides long. RefSeq lists it as uncharacterized. The transcript is spliced from 3 exons. The record is from RefSeq and is a predicted model, not a curated record. NCBI's taxonomy places the organism in Eukaryota, Metazoa, Chordata, Actinopteri, Labriformes, Labridae.